ACUAUUUGCUGCCUUAGUAAGUGAGAAGCCUGCUUUCCCGUCUUGCAUCCGGGCCUCCUACUGUGGAAGGUGCAUGUUAGUUUGGGGGGCAGCAGGGGGUGCUGUUGCCUAGCCGCUAUUUAGAAAAUCUGAAAAUGGCCAGUGGCUUGCCUCGGAAUGUUUCCUCAUUCUCCAUCAUGAGUACAGUCCUUCUGGUGGGUGACCUAGACAGCAGAAGACCUUUUAGUGCAGAUUCAUCAGUCAGAAACUCUUUUAAAAAAUUGGAGUGAAGAUAGGGAGUGUGAAAUUCAAGAAUGACUGUUUCUCAAAGUGAAGUCACGUUUUUAGUGCCUUUUUACAUGGAUCUCAAAUCUCUGCAAGACUGAAAACUUUGAGAAUAAAAAUUGAAGGUGCCGGGCAGCCUACAACAUUGUGACAUGGUUUUCAAGCUUCUGGAUCACUCACCAUUUCUUUAUUGAGAGUGUCCCCUGGCAACUGCUUAACAAAAUCCCAAGCUCAGGGGCUUCUCAGGAUUUACCUAAUUUCUGAAAGGCUCUUCUGAAAGGUGGUAUCUGUUCUUUCGUAGCACAGUAUUUGUGUUUUUCCUGUUCAUUGUUUUGGUUUUUUUUUUUUUUGCAUUUGCACAGUAUACACAAAAGAAUAUGGGGUUGUAAUGAUCCUAAUAGCUCAAAAAAGGUUUUAGCAUGGUCAAACAGGCUUAUGGUUUAAAAUGUGUUAUUCUCUUCUUUGGGAAUUAGCUAAAUGAUGCAAUAAACGUGUUUUGUUUUAGAAUUUCUAGGAAUUAAACACUUUAUGUUUACAGAAUUGAGCUGCAGAAAGUGCAAGACAUGCCAAUUUGAGACACACGGUCUUCUAAGACUGAAGGAUAAAUUUAAUGCAUUUCAGAAACUAAACAUCACAGCAAGCUCUAUCUCUGAGCUAUAAUUUGUUUUUAAUGCAAAGACACUAGUUUGAUAAUAUAUACUGUAAUCCUGAAACAUUUGUGUUACUUACCUUUGGAGGUAGAAAUUAUACCAAUAAAUUAUUGCACUGUUAGUAUUAGAUUCUGUGUACCUUGGAAGUUAUGUCAUUAAUAUAGGCUGGUUCAUCAAAUAAAGCAAAACCUUGCAAUAUCAGCUAGAU
RNAcentral lists this small RNA (1122 nucleotides) under Pongo abelii (Sumatran orangutan). RNAcentral describes it as "processed transcript". Lineage: Eukaryota; Metazoa; Chordata; Mammalia; Primates; Hominidae. The record is from RNAcentral.